UACGUAGGGGGCAAGCGUUGUCCGGAAUCAUUGGGCGUAAAGGGCUCGUAGGCGGUUUGUCGCGUCGGGAGUGAAAUCCACUGGCUUAACUGGUGGCUUGCUUUCGAUACGGGCAGACUGGAGGUAUGCAGGGGAGAACGGAAUUCCUGGUGUAGCGGUGAAAUGCGCAGAUAUCAGGAGGAACACCGGUGGCGAAGGCGGUUCUCUGGGCAUGUCCUGACGCUGAGGAGCGAAAGUGUGGGGAGCGAACAGG
This 253-nucleotide ribosomal RNA is filed under the name uncultured bacterium. RNAcentral describes it as "partial 16S ribosomal RNA". It matches the Rfam family "Bacterial small subunit ribosomal RNA", at positions 524 to 776 of the family's 1533-position model. The record is from RNAcentral.